CACGUAGGGCGCAAGCGUUGUCCGGAAUUAUUGGGCGUAAAGAGCUCGUAGGCGGUCUGCUAAGCGUGCGGUGAAAGCCUGGGGCUCAACCCCAGGUCUGCCGUGCGAACUGGUGGACUAGAGCACUGUAGAGGCAGGUGGAAUUCCGGGUGUAGCGGUGGAAUGCGUAGAGAUCCGGAAGAACACCGGUGGCGAAGGCGGCCUGCUGGGCAGUUGCUGACGCUGAGGCGCGACAGCGUGGGGAGCAAACAGG
RNAcentral lists this ribosomal RNA (253 nucleotides) under uncultured bacterium. RNAcentral describes it as "partial 16S ribosomal RNA". It matches the Rfam family "Bacterial small subunit ribosomal RNA", at positions 524 to 776 of the family's 1533-position model. The record is from RNAcentral.